This 362-nucleotide ribosomal RNA is filed under the name uncultured bacterium. RNAcentral's name for it is "bacterial SSU rRNA". It matches the Rfam family "Bacterial small subunit ribosomal RNA", at positions 9 to 351 of the family's 1533-position model. The record is from RNAcentral.
GAGUUUGAUCUUGGCUCAGGAUGAACGCUGGCGGCGUGCUUAACACAUGCAAGUCGAACGAAGCACCUUAUUCUGAUUUCUUCGGAAUGAAAAAUUUGGUGACUGAGUGGCGGACGGGUGAGUAACGCGUGGGUAACCUGCCUCAUACAGGGGGAUAACAGUUAGAAAUGACUGCUAAUACCGCAUAAGACCACAGCACCGCAUGGUGCAGGGGUAAAAACUCCGGUGGUAUGAGAUGGACCCCGCGUCUGAUUAGGUAGUUGGUGGGGUAACGGCCUACCAAGCCGACGAUCAGUAGCCGACCUGAGAGGGUGACCGGCCACAUUGGGACUGAGACACGGCCCAAACUCCUACGGGAGCAG